AGAGUUUGAUCAUGGCUCAGGACGAACGCUGGCGGCGUGCUUAACACAUGCAAGUCGAGCGGUAAGGCCUCUUCGGGGGUACACGAGCGGCGAACGGGUGAGUAACACGUGGGCGACCUGCCCUCAGCUCUGGGAUAAGCCUGGGAAACUGGGUCUAAUACCGGAUAUGACCUUGUGUUGCAUGACAUGGGGUGGAAAGUUUUUUCGGCUGGGGAUGGGCCCGCGGCCUAUCAGCUUGUUGGUGGGGUGAUGGCCUACCAAGGCGACGACGGGUAGCCGGCCUGAGAGGGCGACCGGCCACACUGGGACUGAGACACGGCCCAGACUCCUACGGGAGGCAGCAGUGGGGAAUAUUGCGCAAUGGGCGGAAGCCUGACGCAGCGACGCCGCGUGGGGGAUGACGGCCUUCGGGUUGUAAACCUCUUUCGACCCUGACGAAGCGUGAGUGACGGUAGGGGUAGAAGAAGCACCGGCCAACUACGUGCCAGCCGCCGCGGUAAUAC
This 503-nucleotide ribosomal RNA is filed under the name uncultured bacterium. RNAcentral describes it as "bacterial SSU rRNA". It matches the Rfam family "Bacterial small subunit ribosomal RNA", at positions 8 to 526 of the family's 1533-position model. The record is from RNAcentral.